GGUUGUGGCUCAGUGGUAGAGCGCUUGCCUAGUAUGGUAAGACACUGGGUUCGGUUCCCUGCACCA
This 66-nucleotide transfer RNA is filed under the name Marmota monax (woodchuck). RNAcentral describes it as "tRNA.Thr". Lineage: Eukaryota; Metazoa; Chordata; Mammalia; Rodentia; Sciuridae. The record is from RNAcentral.